GCCGGAAUAGCUCAGUUGGUAGAGCACCUCACUCGUAAUGAGGGGGUCGUCAGUUCGAGUCUGAUUUCCGGCU
RNAcentral lists this transfer RNA (73 nucleotides) under Eubacterium sp. Its description in RNAcentral is "tRNA-Thr". It matches the Rfam family "tRNA". From Rfam's summary of the family: Transfer RNA (tRNA) molecules are approximately 80 nucleotides in length. Their secondary structure includes four short double-helical elements and three loops (D, anti-codon, and T loops). Further hydrogen bonds mediate the characteristic L-shaped molecular structure. tRNAs have two regions of fundamental functional importance: the anti-codon, which is responsible for specific mRNA codon recognition, and the 3' end, to which the tRNAs corresponding amino acid is attached (by aminoacyl-tRNA synthetases). tRNAs cope with the degeneracy of the genetic code in two manners: having more than one tRNA (with a specific anti-codon) for a particular amino acid; and 'wobble' base-pairing, i.e. permitting non-standard base-pairing at the 3rd anti-codon position. The record is from RNAcentral. RNAcentral also lists the same sequence under 2 other names. Lineage: Bacteria; Bacillati; Bacillota; Clostridia; Eubacteriales; Eubacteriaceae.